UUGGAGUGAAAUAUAGUAACGAAGCCCGUGAGCCAUGCGUCAAGAAAAGCCGCUAUUGUUUAUAUUGUACCCGUACCGUAAACCGACACAGGUGGAUGAGGAGAGAAUCCUAAGGCCGGCGGAAGAAGUAUUGCCAAGGAACUCGACAAAUGGCCCCGUAACUUAGGGAGAAGGGGUGCCUGCGAGAGCAGGCCGCAGAGAAUAGGCUCAAGCAACUGUUUAGCAAAAACACAGGUCUAUGCGAAACCGAAAGGUGAGGUAUAUGGGCUGACGCCUGCCCGGUGCUGGAAGGUUAAGAGGAGAGGUUAGACGCAAGUCGAAGCUUUGAAUUUAAGCCCCAGUAAACGGCGGCCGUAACUAUAACGGUCCUAAGGUAGCGAAAUUCCUUGUCGGGUAAGUUCCGACCCGCACGAAAGGCGUAAUGAUUUGAGCGCUGUCUCGGCAAUACAUCCGGUGAAAUUGAAGUGCCAGUGAAGAUGCUGGCUACCCGCGCCAGGACGGAAAGACCCCAUGGAGCUUUACUCCAGUUUGGCACUGGGGUCCGGUGUUGCAUGUACAGGAUAGGUGGGAGGCUGAGAGAUAGUGACGUCAGUUGCUAUGGAGCCGCUGUUGGGAUACCACCCUUGUGAUAUUGGGCUUCUAACCAGCCGCCGUGAACCGGCGGUGGGACAAUGCCAGGCGGGGAGUUUGACUGGGGCGGUCGCCUCCGAAAGGGUAUCGGAGGCGCCCAAAGGUUCCCUCAGAAUGGACGGAAACCAUUCGAAGAGUGCAAAGGCAGAAGGGAGCUUGACUGCGACACCGACGGGUGGAGCAGGUACGAAAGUAGGGCUUAGUGAUCCGGUGGUAUUAAGUGGGAAUGCCAUCGCUCAACGGAUAAAAGCUACCCUGGGGAUAACAGGCUUAUCACUCCCAAGAGUUCACAUCGACGGAGUGGUUUGGCAUCUCGAUGCCGGCUCAUCGCAUCCUGGGGCUGUAGUAGGUCCCAAGGGUUGGGCUGUUCGCCCAUUAAAGCGGUACGCGAGCUGGGUUCAGAACGUCGUGAGACAGUUCGGUCCCUAUCCGGCGUGGGCGUAGGAUAUCUGAGAGGAGCUGUCCUUAGUACGAGAGGACCGGGAUGGACGGACCGCUGGUGGACCGGUUGGCUUGCCAAAGCCAUGGCCGGGUAGCCAAGUCCGGAAGGGAUAAACGCUGAAGGCAUCUAAGCGUGAAGCCCCCCUCAAGAUGAGAUAUCCCAUUCUUUAAGAAGUAAACCCCCUUGAAGACGACGAGGUAGAUAGGGCAGAGGUGGAAGUGUGGUAACACAUGGAGCUGACUGUUACUAAUCGGGUGAGGGCUUGACC
Molecule: ribosomal RNA, 1340 nt
Filed under: metagenome
Description: bacterial LSU rRNA
Rfam family: Bacterial large subunit ribosomal RNA
Source: RNAcentral